Long non-coding RNA from Cydia splendana, 1162 nucleotides. RefSeq lists it as uncharacterized. The transcript has 4 exons. The record is from RefSeq and is a predicted model, not a curated record. NCBI's taxonomy places the organism in Eukaryota, Metazoa, Arthropoda, Insecta, Lepidoptera, Tortricidae.
UAUUGGCAACAGGCGUUUGCGUUCUACUAUGUACUUUCAAAUCUGUAAAAGGAGGACUCGAAGGUUUUAUAGUCGGUGGUGAUUAUGUUGAAUCUAUAACAGAAUACCCUCAUGUCGCUUCUUUAGCGAUAAAAUUAUUGGACAACGAUUAUAGUUUAUGCGGGUCAUCUAUAUUAAACCAAGUGAUUUUAAUAACUGCCGCGCACUGUUUGGAUAAUCCUCAGGAAGUAAUAGCUUCUGUGGGUAGCCUGAUAGUUGAGCAAGGAGAACUGUAUCGUGUCGCCAAAUUCAGGCUGCAUGAAAAAUGGAAACAGCCCUCCAGGACCUCACACGACAUAGCGUUGUGUGGACUGGAGAAACCACUGUCACUAGGGGAGACGGUAAAGCGGGUGUUACUGAUGAGGCAGCCACCGAGAACACAGACAGCUGUCUUGACUGGUUGGGGCGCGUAUGAAGAAAUUGACUACUUAGAAUCAGUUCAGCUCAAACAUUCAAAACAGAAGGUUUGGACAUAUAACACGUGCAAAAAAGUCGUCAAAACUGCACCCCAUGGCACUAUUUGUGGAGGCGAACUUAAUGAUAAAGGAAAUUUUGCUUCUAGAGGAGACUCAGGCAGUGGUCUCCUAGUUAACAGCAAUAUAAUCAUUGGGCUGGUUUCCUUCAAAAACGUGAAAAUCUCUCGCAGCGUAGUGGUCUAUACGGACGUCGCUUACUACUACGAUUGGAUUGUGCGCGAAUCAAAACAAUUAUUAUGUAAAUAAAAUACAUAGUUAAGCGUAGUUAAGGACCUGUAAUUAGUAUUAAGUUAAUUUAUUUCAUUGCGUUACACAAUUUACUGUAUUAUGUAUAUUUUAUUGUAAGUACUUAUUUCACAAUUAUACAAGUUUAUAGCAUCCGUCAAUACACUAAAUGCAUGUAAUAUAAGGUGAUUUAUAUUCUUAACACGAUAGAACCAAUUACCUAACUUCAGAAUAAUACUUACUAAUACUUAAGGACCUAUCUUAAGGUCUGCAUCAGGGUCAACAUGGUGUAGGCUGUCGACAAAUUUUAUGUAAAAAAAAACAAUAAAUAGGACCCACCUGUGGUGAACCUCCUUAUAAUGAACGCGGCAACACAUCACGAAUCCUGUACAAUAUUUAUUUUACAUCAGUUUUUACACAUU